Molecule: long non-coding RNA, 3917 nt
Organism: Pecten maximus
Lineage: Eukaryota; Metazoa; Mollusca; Bivalvia; Pectinida; Pectinidae
Exons: 6
Source: RefSeq, a predicted model, not a curated record
AAAUAAAUAAAAAAAUGUUGUCGUUUCCUACUUCCGGCCGCGGCUAUUUGAAAAGAAGCGAAGGCUGCAGAAGCAUGUCACCAUUUCAAGUAGACUUCUGUCUGUGUAGAGUACAAGAUACCUGUAAGGUACUGCAUACUAAUGUUGUACAUAAAACAUUGGGAGAAAAGUAAGCAACGAAAAUGAUAGAAACGAAGAUGAAAAUACACAACACACCAGUUGGUUUUCAGCUGAGUCGGAAUAUAAUGAAACAGAAAGUGAGAUAUGAGGAAAGUGACUCUGAAGAUUCUAGUUUUAAACGGAAGUAAACAGAAACUGAGGAUAGGACUGAAAAGGAGUAUCUCCUGUUCGGAAACCUUCAGUGGCAGUAGAAGUGAAAUUUAAGCCUCUAGAUCUUCUACUAGCAAUGAAGGAAGAUCUGUUUACUGUCCAGCACCACAACCAAAAUUUCACCAACAGAAAGCCAAAUCAAGGUCUAGAGAAAGAUUAAGAUCUCUUGAUUGGUCAAAGUCUAUGGAGAGAUCAGUCUAGACAAAGGUCAGGAUCAAGGUCAUGGUUUUGUCAAGACGAGACGGGUACUGAUCAAGAGAAGAAUUCUUUUCCCACUAAGGAGGCUACCAUUACCCACUGGCUGGAGUAUAAGAAUAGAGGCUACCAAAAAGAUCAAGAGGGUCACAGUUUUAGUGUUUAGUGAUGGCUAUUUUUAGCAACACUAAACUUUUAAUGGACACAAUUUCUAAAAAAACAAACUAAGAGUUGAUUGUUGCAAUUUGGCAUGGUGAAAUGUGUAUGGGUGAAGUGAGCACUGAUAAAAUAUAGAGAUCAGAAGUUUAUUCAUUUUAUAUAGAUAUUGAUGAUUGAUUCAGCUGUUGUUAUAGAUCAAACUUUGUAUCUUAUUUUAAGCCAAUGAACCAGUAAUAUUGUGGGUACAAUAUCUUAAAAACUAGAAAGAUUUAAUUGUUAUUUGGUAUGGUGAAUUAUGAUACAAUUUGAUGAUCAGAAGUAAAAUCUCUUGGAAGAUAUCGAUAAAUGAAUCCACUAUGAUAUCACAAUAUAACUUAGUUUCUUGGGAGUUCAGUUGCAAUGUUAUCAUCUACUAGGCUACUUGAGACGGUCUGAUUCCCAGUUUGGUGAUAAAUAUAGAGUUCAUGUGUAUUAAUUACUGUUGAUCUUAGAUUAUAGCACAUGUACCUUUAAAGCAUGUGUAAUUGUUUAUAAACCUCAAUUCUAAUAAAAAUGUGUUUGUAUGUAUAAUUGUAUGAUAAAAAGUGUGAUUGACAAAUAAAUGAAUGAUUGAUUUGAAUAUUGUAACUCUACCUUUAAGAAAAGUGUAUACAUUGUGUUUGACAAAUGAAUGAUUGAUUUGAAUAUUGUAACUCUACCUUUAAGAAAAGUGUAUACAUUGUGUUUGAAUGAUCAUAUUGUAUGAAGCGUAAAAUAAACUAUUUAUUGAAUUUUUUAUUUAAUUGAUUUGACUAAAUGAAUGUACAUUCAAUUUGUUAUAGUGCAGUAGAAUAUAAUACAUUUGAGUGAUGUGUCACAUGGGGUUAAAAUUUAUCCUUUAUCUGUGAUGCUAGUUGAACAAGUUGCCAGAGUCCAGGGCAAGUAGAAAUUACAUAGGGUUAGCGGAAACAGGUAUUUUUAUAAUGUGUUUGAAUUUGAUAAUGUUUAUAAAAUUAAGAAACAUGUUUCUACAUGAGUUUACCAUUCUGUCCUAUGCUGAUAGAUGAUUUAUUGUUAACAAUUCUCAUUAUAAGUUCAUAUCCAUUACUAAUUUGUGAGAAUGCAGAUAUUUUGAAAGAAUGUUUCUUUUUAAAAUCUUUCAUGUGUAAAAAUGUUAUGUGUGAUAUUUGAAUUAAAUUUAAUGAAACCUGUGCUUUCUUUUUUCAUCAUUUGCAAUCCAACAGCAAUGACUAGAUCCUGACGUGAAUCUGACGUCAAUUUCUGACCUAAGUCUGACGUAAAUCUGACGUCAGAAAAUAACGUCAAUGUGAUUUUCACUUUUGACCAUUAUUUGACGUAAUCCUGACGUCCAUUUUUGACGUAAAUCUGACGUAAAAAUGACGUCAAAUGCCUGCUGGGAUGUGUAAUGUAAUGAUAAUCUAAUAAUACAUGUUUAUUUUUGAUAGAUUGAAUGCAGAACAGAGCUUGUGAUAUAUAUUCUGGAACGACCUCACCAAGGACUAGCUUGGAAAAUUCCAGCUCAUGGACGUAAAAAAGUUCCUAAAACAGAACAUUGAUUCUACCACAGUUACAGUAACAGGCCGAGGACGCCUCCGCUCCCCAAAGACGGGUUCACCAAGGAACAACCUCAACAAAACUUGGACACAGCAAACUUCCUAAAACAGACCAACAUUCUACCACAGCUGCUGUCUGUCACAGGUCAUGGCUGAGGUCGUCUGCCCAAAGACUGGGUUCACUUAAUUAGGGACAAUGCCAACAAUACUUGGAUAACACCCCCUCAGAUCCAUUGCUUGUGGGGUUCAUAUGUGGAAAGCUAGAUCCUGAUGACAGUAUUAGAAGUGUGGCGUAUUACAUCUUAAACAUAACUGGUGUUCCUGGAAUGGAUACAUUUUCAGGGUAUCCAGGUGUCUACCAUCCAGGGUUAAUUGACCGAGUUAUAGACUCCCAUAACCAGUUGUGUCUUCUAAGCCAGGCCUGGACUAGUGGAGGAUAUCAAAAAUUGGUGUAAUGCCCGAUUCCUGGCAGAAAAUCUGGUCAAUCAAGGGUUGAGCUUCUCAGUGUCUCCAUCUGUUCCAGUAGAACCUCAAUUAGACCGCAUAGCAAUAGACAUUCUGGGACAUUUACAGACGACAGAAUAUGGAAUUACUGGAAGGGGAUUAUUUAUCUAAAUGUGUAGAAGUUGUACAUCUAAAACAUGACCACAAUACACAAGUAGUAGCUUACGAGCUUAUAACAGAACUUAUUUGUAGAUUUGGUAUUGUAUCAGUUUAUAGAUAGAAUAAGGUUAUGAGUUCGAAUCUGACCCGUUUAAAGCCAUUUUUUAUAUUUGGCAGAUUGAUAUUAAAGAGAGACUACAGUAUGGAUGUACUUGACAUAAUGGUUCCGCCCCAGGAGAGGGAGAAGCUGAUAAUGAUGUUUGUCCAGCCUCGACAGAGAAUAUGUCGACCUGUCCAGUGGUAACUUGUUGGGACCAGAUAUACUAUAAUUAUUCACAGAUCAAGCUCCAUUGGAACAAGUCACUUCUACUUCAGAGGCAUAAAUUAAUAGUAGAGGACGCUAAAUCGUUCAGAGCAGCUACACAAUUGUUGAUGCGGGGAAAAAGUGGCGGUCUAUCCUAAAGGUUUCAUCUGAAAUGGCAGUUUGUGGAGAAGAGGCCACAGCUCGGCACCAGGUAGAAUCAUGCCAGUCUGUCACUAGUGAUGUCAUCUCACGGACUGUCACUGUGGCCCAGUCUGUCACUAGUGAUGGCAUCUCACAGAAUGUCACUGUGGCCUAGGACCAGGUGAUGUCACCAGUGAUGUCUUCCCACAGAAUGUCACUGUGGCCUAGGACCAGGAGAUGUCACUAGUGAUGUCAUCUCACAGAAUGUCACUGUGGCCUAGGACCAGGAGAUGUCACUAGUGAUGUCAUCUCACGGACUGUCACUGUGGCCUAGGACCAGGUGAUGUCACUAGUGAUGUCAUCUCACAGAAUGUCACUGUGGCCUAGGACCAGGAGAUGUCACUAGUGAUGUCAUCUCACAGAAUGUCACUGUGGCCUAGGACCAGGAGAUGUCACUAGUGAUGUCAUCUCACAGAAUGUCACUGUGGCCUAGGACCAGGAGAUGAUACAUCUUUAUCAUGGCCAAGCCAUCAUACAAGAUCAAAUUCAUUUGCUCUGAGGUAGAGCCGUGUUGCAGAAUUGCUAUGAACCUAUUAUACACAAACUAUAGUCAAUUCUAUACAGAGUAGAGA